GCGGCCGUGGUCUAACGGUAUGAUUCCAGCCUUCCAAGCUGGUUGCCCGGGUUCAAUUGCAAGCAGAACCGCU
Molecule: transfer RNA, 73 nt
Filed under: Candidatus Micrarchaeota archaeon CG1_02_51_15
Lineage: Archaea; Nanobdellati; Microcaldota
Description: tRNA-Gly
Source: RNAcentral